Molecule: ribosomal RNA, 468 nt
Filed under: uncultured bacterium
Lineage: Bacteria
Description: partial 16S ribosomal RNA
Rfam family: Bacterial small subunit ribosomal RNA
Source: RNAcentral
GACGAACGCUGGCGGCGUGCUUAACACAUGCAAGUCGAACGGAAAGGCCAUGCUCUUGUGGGGUGCUCGAGUGGCGAACGGGUGAGUAACACGCGAGUAACCUGCCCCUGACUUUGGGAUAAAUUCAGGAAACUGGGGCUAAUACCCGAUAGGAUCUCCUGAUGCAUGGUGGGGGUUGGAAAGAUUCGGCGGUUGGGGAUGGUAUCGCGGCUUAUCCGCUUAAUGGUGGGGUAGUGGCUUACCAAGGUUUUGACGGGUAGGCGGCCUGAGAGGGUGACCGGCCACAUUGGGACUGAGAGACGGCCCAGACUCCUACGGGAGGCAGCAGUGGGGAAUAUUGCACAAUAGGCGGAAGCCUGAUGCAGCAGCGCCGCGUGCGGGAUAACGGCCUUCGGGGUGUAAACCGCUUUCGCCUGUGACGAAGCGGGAGUGACGGUAAUGGGUAAAGAAGCACCGGCUAACUACGUG